UCUCCGCGCCACCGGCCAUCUCCGCGCCGCACCGCCCAUCUCCGCAAGUUGUGAAUAGGAAAGUGUGAAGUUAAUGUAUCAAGAUAACAUAUCAAUGGAGGUGGAGGGACGUGAGGAAAUGACUCCGAUUACGGAAUUGGAGUUUUCUAACGAUGAAAUUGAAGAAGAGGCACCCCCUACCUCGAGUGCCACAAAUAAGAAUCAACUUUUAGUACAUCGGGUCGUGUGCUUGAUGGCUUUCGGAGUUCUUUAACUCCAAAAGUAGUGGAAGCUUUGAUUUGCACUCAAGAUUGGUUGAGAGCCGCUCGUGUACCGCUUGAUGUUGAAGAGUGUAUUGAGAACGCCGAACAAUUUGAGUUGGAUAUGGUUGGUCUUAAUGCGGAGAUUAUGAUCGAUAAAUAAAGUUGGUGGUAUCGCACUUGCAAUGGAUCCAACGGUUGAGAAGUCAA
Eucalyptus grandis is the source of this 449-nucleotide long non-coding RNA. RefSeq lists it as uncharacterized. The record is from RefSeq and is a predicted model, not a curated record. The transcript has 4 exons. NCBI's taxonomy places the organism in Eukaryota, Viridiplantae, Streptophyta, Magnoliopsida, Myrtales, Myrtaceae.